Molecule: long non-coding RNA, 2142 nt
Filed under: Daphnia magna
Lineage: Eukaryota; Metazoa; Arthropoda; Branchiopoda; Diplostraca; Daphniidae
Description: uncharacterized LOC123470531, transcript variant X2
Source: RNAcentral
CGCGAGCGAGAGCACGCUCACUUUUUUUUUUGCGAGCGAGAGCUGAGCUACGCUCACUUUUCAGCACUGAGCGGGAAGCUCUGAGCGCGCUCUCAAAUCAGUAAGCUACUCCUAACUCUGGGUGGGGUUGAAAGAAUAUCAGGAAAAUGCUUCCUCGUUGCUGUCCCAGAUAGAUCUCCUGAUACUGGAUAUAAUCAAAGAAUGGAUAUUGCCUGGAUCUAUAAUAAUAUCGGAUUGCUGGAAAGCAUAUGAUAAGAUAGAGUAAUUAAUCAUUUUUUUUUCAUUUUAACCAUUUCUGUUUUAAAAAUUAUUUUACGUAGGGAACAUAAUGAAUAUAUCCAUUUAAAAGUUAACCAUAGUUUACAUUUUAAAGAUCCCGAAACUGGAGCGCAUACUAAUCAAAUAGAGGGUAAAUCACCUUAGUAUAUAAUAUUAUUAUUUUACUUAACUGCUUUUGUGUUAGGAUUGUGAAAUUUAGCAAAAAAAAAGUCUUCCGAACACAAAUACGAGUAAAAAAUUGUUUGCGGGUAAUUUAGCAUCUUUUAUGUUGCGCACGAAAUGGAAGGGCAAAGAUGGUUUUAAAUUACUCAUGCAAUAUGCGGCAAAACUAUAUUCUGAACAUUCUGUUAGAGAAGAAACUGACGCAAAGCAAAUGAAGGAUUUGGAAUAGGAGUUUCAUCUACUAUCCAUGUAGAAUCGAAAAGAUUUGGUGAAUCAAUUGUGAAGAAUAAUUUAGUACCUCAUUUUUUGCUGGGGUGGAAUAAAGUGGAUGAUGUGAUGGUUUUUCAGUUGAUACAUUAGUUAUUUCUGUACAGUUUACUAUUGUGUUUGCUAUCAGUUCCUUCAAUUAGUUUAGAUUAGUUUUAGAGUUAAUGAAUGUUUAAAUAAUACAAUAGUUAUAUUUACACCGGUUAGAUUAGAAACAAAAAGAUUUAGUGAAUAAAUUAUGAAGGUACAUUCAGCUUGUUAAAAUUUAUUGGUGCUAAACUUAAAAAUUUUCUAUUGUAGAAUAAUUUAGUACCUCAUUUUUUGCUGGUGUGGAAUACAGUGGAUGAUGUGAUGGUAUUUCAGUUGAUACAUUAGUUGGUAUUUCAGUUGAUACAUUAGUUAUUUCUGUACAGUGUAAUAUUGUGUUUGCUAUCUGUUCCUUAAAUUAGUUUAGAUAAUAUUUAUUGUUAAUGAAUGUUAAAAUAAUACAAUAGUUAUAUUUACAUCGGUAAGAUUAGAAUCGAAAAAUUUGGUGAAUCAAUUGUGAAGGUAAAUUCAGCUUGCUAUAAUUUAAUGAUGUUAAACUUUAAAAUUUUGUAUCGUAGAAUAGUUUAGUACCUCAUUUUUUGUUGGGGUGGAAUAAAGUGGAUGAUGUGAUGGUAUUUCAGUUGAUACAUUAGUUAUUUCUGUACAGUUUACUUUUGUGUUUGCUAUGAAUUCCUUCAAUUAGUUUAGAUUAAUUUUACAGUUAAUGAAUGUUAUUAACACUAGUUAUAUUUACAUCGUUCAAUAUAAAUAGUUUCUCCAUAGUGGUUUUGAGAUCAAAAAUAGAUGUAUUUCGUAGAUUUUUGCCUAAAGCUAAUAUAAUUUUCUAUAAUUCAAAUUGCAAAUAAAAAUAUUUAAGUAAAAAUUGAUUUGGUUUUAAGAAAAGUUACCGUUUGUAGUUUUUUCAUUUCUUCUUCUACGUACUUUAGUUUAGAAUUUGAUUGUUCCAGAGAUAAAUUUAAGUUUUCAUUUUCAUUUUGUAAUUUGCCUUCAUGGUUUUUCAAGCAACAGGUUCAAGGCAGUAUUUUAAAUUUUGAGAAAGCAACAAGAAAAUAUGCUUGUUGAAAACCAGUCUAUUUACGUAUUCGUCGAGUUACAAACGUAAAAAUUUGUUUGUUACCACUAGAUGGCUAAGAUCUUAGUUUAACACAUGGCCUACUCUAGUAACGGCCUAUAGGCUGGCUAUCCAAAAAAACCAAUUGUAUACAACAAACCGAAGAAAAGAAAGGUCAUGAAACUGCAAAAAUAGAACUCCGUAACACCUUUCAAAUCUUUUGAUUUAAUGUUAUCGUAGACAGUAACUCUUCAUGAAACUGCAAGCUGUGAAACCGUCACAAUGACCAUUAUAAAAUGGAAAUACAAUAGUGUGGUAACUCGCCUGUAACAUUA